Molecule: long non-coding RNA, 1218 nt
Filed under: Chloebia gouldiae (Gouldian finch)
Lineage: Eukaryota; Metazoa; Chordata; Aves; Passeriformes; Passeridae
Description: Erythrura gouldiae (Gouldian finch) lncRNA (ENSEGOG00005004103.1)
Source: RNAcentral
CCAUAAGCGCCGGCUCGUCUGUGACGCUUCCCGGCUUCAGCACGCAGUUCUGCAAACUCUUUUUAGCAUGAUGUUUUUACAUGACUUCAUGCACAAGGAUCUUGGCUCCAGUUCCGCCUUUUCCCUGCAGUUCUCUAAUGGCCCUGACAGAAGUACUAACCCUGGUUACUAGUGACAUUUUCUCUGCCAGCAUCUCACCAGUAAAUGCAAGUGUUUAAAUUUUCUGAAACCAAGUACAGUAUUAUUUUAAAGGUUCUUUUAACUCUAAAAAUGAAAAUUUGUUUACAGUUCUGUUACAUCCAUAAAUAACUCUGUCAUUAGCAAAUGCAAAACAAAUUAUUAUGGAGAAUGUAGCUUAAACACAGCCUGCCACACUAAAUUUAAUUAAAAACUGGUGUGUAUCUAAAUUAUUUUCUACCUUCACUGGGAUGUGUGUGUUCAACAAGGAAACCGACCAGGCAGGCCAGGAAAUUGUGGAAGGACUGUCAGCUCCUUUGAGCGCUGUGUUCAAAUAUAUGUCUAAUCCAAUUAAACCCGAGUAAGUGGUCAGAGGCUGUCAUGCUCUCCCAACAACUGCUCCCGUGGCAGAACUCGGUGCAGCGUUUCAGUGAAGCUCUGCAGUUGCUGAGAUAGGCAGAGCAGAUGGGAGUGGUAUCAAUCAGUUUUCAGCCUGCUUAAAUACACUGCCAUUACCUGCACUUAAUGUUGGGUCUUUUGCCUUAAUAAGGUGACAUAAAAGCCUCAAUUUUGGAAAGCACAUAAACGUGUUUUAUGAAAAUUAUGAGUUCCAUGAUCAAAAUGAAGGGGGAGAAGAGGUGAUACUUAUUAAAAAAAGAUAGCAGAUAAUGAGAAGCAGAAGGAAGAAAACCUUUUUAUUUCAAAUAGAAAUCAAAGCACUGCUGAGAAGAGUUUGUGUAAGCAGAAAUAGGAAUAUUAAGAAAAAGCUAAGCCAUUAGCUAAGUCAGUGUAAAUACGUCAUGGUUUGGACUGUCUCCAUCUUCAGUCAAGUUCAGGAGUCACAUGAAUGAGUUCAUCCUACAAUCAGGAUCUAGAAAUUCCCUGCACUGUUACUCGUUCCUGCUUUAACUGUUAAUUCUUGUUCUGUAAAUAGGUCUCUUGAAAAGGGAACAUUGUACCACAGGGCCCCUGAGCCCUGGGAUCAGCAGUGCUGGGUCAGGCUGAGGACAAACACCAUGGAGCUGCCCCAUGGUGCCCCUC